GAUGAACGCUGGCGGCGUGCCUAAUACAUGCAAGUCGAGCGAACGGACGAGAAGCUUGCUUCUCUGAUGUUAGCGGCGGACGGGUGAGUAACACGUGGAUAACCUACCUAUAAGACUGGGAUAACUUCGGGAAACCGGAGCUAAUACCGGAUAAUAUUUUGAACCGCAUGGUUCAAAAGUGAAAGACGGUCUUGCUGUCACUUAUAGAUGUAUCCGCGCUUCAUUAGCUGGUUGGUAAGGUAACGGCUUACCAAGGCAACGAUGCAUAGCCGACCUGAGAGGGUGAUAGGCCACACGGGAACUGAAACAGGGUCAAGACUCCUACGGGAGGAAGCAGUAGGGAAUCUUCGGCAAUGGGCGAAAGCCUGACGGAGAAACGCCGCGUGAGUGAUGAAGGUCUUCGGAUCGUAAACCUCUGUUAUUAGGGAAGAACAUAUGUGUAAGUAAAUGUGCACAUCUUGACGGUACCUAAUCAGAAAGCCACGGCUAACUACGUG
This 497-nucleotide ribosomal RNA is filed under the name uncultured bacterium. RNAcentral's name for it is "partial 16S ribosomal RNA". It matches the Rfam family "Bacterial small subunit ribosomal RNA", at positions 28 to 507 of the family's 1533-position model. The record is from RNAcentral.